CAGUCGCCACGGGAAUACAGAGGGUGCGAGCGUUAAUCGGAUUUACUGGGCGUAAAGCGUGCGUAGGCGGCUUCUCAAGUCGGAUGUGAAAUCCCUGAGCUUAACUUAGGAAUUGCAUUCGAUACUGGGAAGCUAGAGUAUGGGAGAGGAUGGUAGAAUUCCAGGUGUAGCGGUGAAAUGCGUAGAGAUCUGGAGGAAUACCGAUGGCGAAGGCAGCCAUCUGGCCUAAUACUGACGCUGAGGUACGAAAGCAUGGGGAGCAAACAGGAUUAGAUACCCGAGUAGUCCCUGUCUCUUAUAC
This 301-nucleotide ribosomal RNA is filed under the name uncultured bacterium. Its description in RNAcentral is "partial 16S ribosomal RNA". It matches the Rfam family "Bacterial small subunit ribosomal RNA", at positions 509 to 807 of the family's 1533-position model. The record is from RNAcentral.